This 303-nucleotide ribosomal RNA is filed under the name uncultured bacterium. RNAcentral's name for it is "partial 16S ribosomal RNA". It matches the Rfam family "Bacterial small subunit ribosomal RNA", at positions 507 to 807 of the family's 1533-position model. The record is from RNAcentral.
AGCAGUCGCCGCGGUAAUACGUAGGUGGCAAGCGUUGUCCGGAAUUAUUGGGCGUAAAGGGCUCGCAGGCGGUUUCUUAAGUCUGAUGUGAAAGCCCCCGGCUCAACCGGGGAGGGUCAUUGGAAACUGGGAAACUUGAGUGCAGAAGAGGAGAGUGGAAUUCCACGUGUAGCGGUGAAAUGCGUAGAGAUGUGGAGGAACACCAGUGGCGAAGGCGACUCUCUGGUCUGUAACUGACGCUGAGGAGCGAAAGCGUGGGGAGCGAACAGGAUUAGAGACCCCUGUAGUCCCUGUCUCUUAUAC